GCCGGGAUGGCGGAAUUGGUAGACGCACGGGACUCAAAAUCCCGCGCCCCAAAGGCGUGCCGGUUCGAUUCCGGCUCCAGGCACCA
Molecule: transfer RNA, 86 nt
Filed under: Methylophilaceae bacterium
Lineage: Bacteria; Pseudomonadati; Pseudomonadota; Betaproteobacteria; Nitrosomonadales; Methylophilaceae
Description: tRNA-Leu
Rfam family: tRNA
About the family: Transfer RNA (tRNA) molecules are approximately 80 nucleotides in length.
Source: RNAcentral